UACGGAGGGAGCUAGCGUUGUUCGGAAUCACUGGGCGUAAAGAGCACGUAGGCGGCUUAUCAAGUUGGGAGUGAAAUCCCGGGGCUUAACCCCGGAACUGCUCUCAAAACUGAUUCGCUAGAGUUUGGUAGGGGAUAGUGGAAUUCCUAGUGUAGAGGUGAAAUUCUUAGAUAUUAGGAGGAACACCGGUGGCGAAGGCG
RNAcentral lists this ribosomal RNA (200 nucleotides) under uncultured bacterium. RNAcentral describes it as "partial 16S ribosomal RNA". It matches the Rfam family "Bacterial small subunit ribosomal RNA", at positions 524 to 723 of the family's 1533-position model. The record is from RNAcentral.